Small nuclear RNA from Octodon degus (degu), 103 nucleotides. NCBI's taxonomy places the organism in Eukaryota, Metazoa, Chordata, Mammalia, Rodentia, Octodontidae. The record is from Ensembl.
GCCUGCUUCCACAGGGUAUGCACUAAAGCUGAAUGGAGACAGAGAUGCACAUGGCCCCUGCGCUAGGACAACUAUGCAAAUUCGUGAAACGUUCCAUAUUUUU